AAUCUAUAACUAUAUAUAAAGGGGAUACAAGUUUUUGGAGUGACCUAUUUUUGUUCCAAAAUUACCCUUUAUCUUUUUUAUAAAUAACUUGAGUGAUUAGUAUCUUUUGUUGGUUAUGAAUUGAUAAACUAACUUCCAUCUCUCACAAAAAAAAACUAUAACUUCCAUUAACCGUUGAAUGAUGACACAAAUUAAAAAUCCUCUUCUAUUUUUUUUUAAUUUCAUCUCUUUCUCAAUCAGCAUACUAUUUUUUUUGUUGAACUUUUUUAAUUCUAUUAUAUUUCUAUCUUACUUUUGAUUUUCUAUUGUAACUUUCUAAUAUGCAGUAUUUUU
Molecule: long non-coding RNA, 333 nt
Filed under: Lathyrus oleraceus (garden pea)
Lineage: Eukaryota; Viridiplantae; Streptophyta; Magnoliopsida; Fabales; Fabaceae
Description: Pisum sativum (pea) long non-coding RNA (PSAT_LNC015192)
Source: RNAcentral